Molecule: transfer RNA, 74 nt
Filed under: Sutcliffiella horikoshii
Lineage: Bacteria; Bacillati; Bacillota; Bacilli; Caryophanales; Bacillaceae
Also listed under: 2 other names
Description: tRNA-His(gtg)
Rfam family: tRNA
About the family: Transfer RNA (tRNA) molecules are approximately 80 nucleotides in length.
Source: RNAcentral
GCGAUUGUGGCGAAGUGGUUAACGCACCUGAUUGUGGUUCAGGCAUUCGUGGGUUCGAUUCCCAUCAGUCGCCC